UAGAAUAACAUGAAUAAUGUCGGUGGCAGACACGUUAUUGUUAGGAAUAGACAACUUUGUGGCAUGCACUGGAUGUAUAAGAUAUACAAUUUGGAUCCUGUUGAUAGGAAUCAUAUUGCAAAUAGUGGGUUUUAAUGGGAACAAGUGGUCAGUUUCGUCAACAUCCCAACAUGGACUUAAUUUUCUUUGUCAUCAUCUUACAAAUAUAAAGAAUAUACCAGUUGUGUGUUGUGAUGUAUUUGAUACAGGUUGGUUGACCGCAGCCUAUGUUUGUCAAGUUGUGGGAUGUGUAAGCUCAACAGCUACAUUCCUGUCUGCGUUCCUUUUCGUGUGUUUUUCAAAGACAAGAGGACAAAAAUGUGUCAGACGAACAUUUCAGAUAUUAGCUUUUAUCACAGCUGCAAUUAUUGGUUCUAGUGCUGCCAUUUACGCAAACUUUUACUGGAGAAACCACAUUCUUCAAGACCAUCAUCUUGGCACUUCGUUUACCAUAGUUGUCAUAUCUUGUCUCGCUUUCUUAUGUGUGGGGUUGAUAAUAAGUGUGAAUGGAUGUACAGGAUAUUUUGAAGAAGCUCCAUCAUCUUGUCCAACUGCACAAACGCCUUUAAUUCCUUCUGCUCCACAAAGAGACAGUACAACGCGUAAUUCUUCAACAAGAAAACAAAUGCCAAUGUGUACUAUCUGUUCUGAAAAUCAACGUGACGUGAUAUUUAACUGUGGACACUUUGUAUGCUGCAAUGCAUGUGCAACAAUAUUACAAAACUCGAACAGAUAUAACUGCCCAAGAUGUAGAAGAACAGUGACGUCACAAAGACGUGUAUAUUAUUGAUUCAAUGAUUUGUCUUUGUACAUGUAUGAUUUAUGUUUACAUUUUGCUUUGUCCAAGUUAUAAUGGGUUUAUCUUUUCGUUGAAAUGAUGGUUUUCAUAUAGUUUUAUUUAAUAUUGACAUUUCAUGAAAAGUAUAUUUAUUUUUUUCUGGUCAUACAUGUAGUUUAUCAUGCCACAAGAUAUUGCCAAUGAAAGGAGAGAGUAAAAUAGGGUCACAUUUGACAUAUAGAAUUAAAAAUCCCAAAUUGUAAUAGAUCUGACCAUCUUUGUCUGGUUAAGACCUUAUUAUGUCAGGUAUCAAUAAUGAUAUGUUAAUCAACGUUAGGAGGCAAAUGAGUAACGCUUACGCAAACACAAUAAUAAGAAAAUACAGGAAAUUGGCCCAAUAGGUCGACCUAAAUUUCAAAGAAUACAAUGUUGACCGGACGUGCCUUCAUAUUCAGCCAUCCCGCACAGCAAAACGAACGCCUCUCUUCAGCAUGCGUAUUGCUGUCUGUUGAGGAAAUCCAUGAAUGACCAUACUUCUAUACCCCAGUCAACCCUCGGGGUUUCAGUUCAUAUGACAAAUCGGUAUUAACUAUAAUAGUCUCACAAAUCAGCAACAGUUGUUUUGUUUUUUUUGUCAGCGAAUGUUAAGGUUAUGGCAAUUCUUUUGAAAUAUCAAGAUGGGAGAAAUAAACUAUAUUUGUGGCUAUUAAUCUAUUCUUAUUCUAUAAAUAUCAUAUCCAUAUGUAUUUAAAAAUAUAUAUUUGCUUAAAAUUAGAAGCGUAAUACAAACAAUCCCCUGUGACAUGCUUUUAUCUUUAAGAUUAUGCCUGUAGAAAGCUUGCUUUUAAAUGGAAAACGUAAUAGAAGUAGAUUCAGUAAAUCAAAUGCCUGCUCUGGGUUGUGCCAAACUUUUCCUUUUUCCACAUGAGAAAUGAAACAAGUACAAAUCUCAUAUAUUAUCUCUGCACAAAGAAACUCAAUAAAGUCUUUACAAUAAGUGUAAUUAAUAUUGAUCAUCAUCAUACGCCUGUUCUGGAUAGCUGCAACGUGUCAAAUUAAAGGACGACUACAGAAUGCAAGGCAUCGAGACAUGGUAUAUAUACAGACAUUACGGAAUGCAAAUUUUAAUUGAAAGUAAUUUAUGAGUUCCAGAGACGGAUUUAAGAGGGACAGGGGGCUACAUACAUGGUUAAUGCAUAGAUAUUUUACAAGUCUCACUCCUAACGUUGUCUCCCCCUUUCAAAAUCCUGGAUCCGCAUCUGAUCAUUAAAAAGAAUAGAACGAAUUUAAAGUAAAUUAUGUUAAAAGUAUUAUUAUAAUAUCUGGAGCUAUGAGUAAUACUCAUGUGUGGUAAACAAGAGAUAGGAGCUAUGAGUCAGUCUCAUAUUAGUAAACAAGAAAUAGGAGCUAUGAGUCAGACUCGUGUGUAGUAAACAAGAGAUAGGAGCUAUGAGUCAGAUUCAUGUGUAGUAAAGAAGAAAUAGGAAAAAAUAUUUUAUCAGGUUUAAAAAAAUAAAUAAUUACUCAAAAUAUCCUCAAAAAGCAUAAUAUUUUUAUCUGUGCCCUGAUCAUCUGGUCAUGACAGGUUUUUAAUUUUUUUUAAAGAGCAUACCUCGUAUCCCAUUCUUUAUAGAAAAUAAAUAUUUAAACAUACAUAUGAUAUAAGGUUGAACUCCAAAACAAAUGUACCUACCUGCCUGCAAUAAAACUAUUUUCUAUGUUUAUUCAUAUAUGUUUAAAUACUGAAGUGCACAUAAAUUUUAGAUGGUUUGUAAAAAUAGAAAUAGUUAUGUCCCUGGCUGGCACUUUAGUGUCGGGUGUUGACAAUUUUAGGACUGUCGUUAGUUGUGUGCGAUGUACAAUCGUGUUGCUCUUGAUAGGAAUCAUAUUACAAAUAGUUGGACUCAGUGGCCAUGACUGGUCAGUUUCACCAGCGUCCCAACAUGGGUUGUAUGGACUUUGCCAUUAUGACACAUACAAGAAUAUAUCUGUCUUUUGUUGUGAUGUUUUUCAUUCAAGUAUGUAUUUAUUAUAUAUUAUAAAUUGUGAUAAAUGUAUUUAAGAUCUAAGGUUCGUUCUAUUACUUAUAGAUUUUAGAGUUAAAAAAAAAUGAUAUAAGAUACAGAUAGUUUAUUUAGUUUCCUUCAUUAAAUUUUAAUACAAAUUGUCAAAGCUUGAUUUAUCUUAUAUCUAUAUAUAUGUUAAGUCCUUAAAAUAUUGCUUGUAUAUCAUAUUUUAUCAGUACUUUAGUCCCUAAAAAUAUCGAUUCCUCUGUAUGUUAAUAAUUCUUAUCACUUUAAACUAAUUUAUUGCUGCUGUAAAAAUAUUCUGUACAACGAAAGUGAAAACAACACGAACGUUGAUCUUUUUGCAGCUAAAAAAUCAAUGGCUUUUAUGUAAACGAUGAUUUAUUAAGAUAUUUUGACGCUUGUUUGGACACAAAGCCUUAGAGAUUCAAAUUCUGUAAAAUUUAAGAUAUUGUUUUCCGAAGUGCAAAAAAUCAAGCAUUUAACCCAAUCUAAAGAUAUUUUUUUUAAUUUGAUUAUUUAGAAAACAAAAGUCUUAUGGGGUUUCCAAAAAAAAAACCUUAAAAAAAACAUAAUGCUAUUGAUUGAUUUCAGAAGUUAUCACAAAA
Long non-coding RNA from Mytilus californianus (California mussel), 3452 nucleotides. RefSeq lists it as uncharacterized. The transcript is spliced from 4 exons. NCBI's taxonomy places the organism in Eukaryota, Metazoa, Mollusca, Bivalvia, Mytilida, Mytilidae. The record is from RefSeq and is a predicted model, not a curated record.